UAUAUAUAGUAGGUCUUGUGUGCUAUUAGGAGGCCUUCGUGCUCCUAAGUCGUUUUCGAUGAUGGAGCUUUCGAAUCGACGAUCGGCUCCGUUAGACUUAAUCUAGCAUAUUUGAAGUAUCUAGAAAAUGAAUUUUACGAUUUUUCGAUAUUAUUUACCUAGCGAUCGAAAGGGUUCAAAAUCAACAAUUUUUAAUGGUUAAUAUAUAUCGUUUGCAAGUAUAACGGUGUAGAAGUAUACAAAUCAAAUAAAAUUUGAUAGAAAAUUUUUUAUACUAUUUACUACAAGAUCAAUAUCUCUGAUUGAAAAUUUUAGUGGUAUAUCACCACUUUUUGUGAGAUUUUUAGUUUCAGCCGUUGAUUUUGAACCCUUUCAAUAGUUAGGUAAAUGAUAUUGAAAAAUCGCAAAAUUUAUUUUCUAGAUACUUCAAAUGCACUAGAUUAAGUCUAACGGAGCCGAUCGUCAAUUCGCAAGCUCCAUCAUCGAAAAUGGCUUAGGAGCACGGAGGCCUCCAUGCUCCUAAUAGCAUACAAGACCUACUAUAUAUAUAUAUAUAUAGAGAGAGAGAGAGAGAGAGAGAGAGAGAGAGAGAGAGAGAGAGAGAGAGCUACACUAGAAAACUAUUAGUAGUAACCGGUUCGAAUUACUACAAAUUUUGAUUUCGAUGAUAAAGUUUUCAAAUUAACGAUCGACAUCAUUGAAUAUGAAAUAAAUGGCUAAAAAUUGUUCUCUCGUCAAUCAAGUGACAUAAAAUAAAUGACUAAAAAUGAAUAUUCUUCAAAAAAAUAAUGGUACAAUUUCUGCAAUGAAGAUCUAAAGUCUAGAUUUUAUUUUAAAUAGUUUAAAGAAUUUUCUAACAAAAAUUUAGCUAAUUUGGAUUUUUCUAUACUGUUAAACAAGCAAACAUAAGAUACCGGCUAUUAAAAUUAUAAAUUUUGUGAUCCUUUAAUUGUUCGGUUAGUGAUGUCAAAAAAGGAUAAAAUUUGGUUUCUUAAUAAUUUAAAUGAUUUAGAUCAUAUUCAAUAAUAUCGAUCGUCGAUUUAAAAGCUCUAUCAUCGAAAAAAAAUUAUAAAAAAUCGAGCCGUUUACUAUCGAUCGUAUUCUAGUAAAGCUCUCUAUAUUCGAUAUUAUCCAAAAUCAAAUAGAAAAAUUUUUGUAUCGGAUCGAAUAUGAAUAUGAAUACAGAUACAAAUUAAUCAAAAAAUUAUAUUACACUA
This 1217-nucleotide long non-coding RNA is filed under the name Ananas comosus (pineapple). Its description in RNAcentral is "long non-coding RNA (ACOM_LNC002472)". Lineage: Eukaryota; Viridiplantae; Streptophyta; Magnoliopsida; Poales; Bromeliaceae. The record is from RNAcentral.